CGUGCACAGCCUAGAAACGAGGAGUCGAUGGGUACAUCACAGCAUCGGAUCUAGCUCCUUGGGACAUCAUCAUGCUGAACCCCAGGGCCAGUGUUUCUAUCUAGGAAGCUACAACCUCAUCUCAGACUUGAAGCAGAAAAAUUCUAGAUGGCCACGCACAUGAAACCUCAGGUGAAGCAGUCUCUACAAGCUGGCACUGUGUCCCCCUCAAGAAGCCACCUCCUGCUGGAACCCUGCUUGGUGCCGUUCUGAAUGAUGCCCCUUUUCAGCCUGAAGCAGCCAGAGCAGUCACUGUGCAGUUCCCCUAACAGAAGUCAGGGGCCAUUCUUCUGGGGGCAGGAAGGACUCUGAGGAGUCAGAUGAGUUAAUAGGUAGUCAGGGUGGUCCCAGUGGAAAUUGAGGGUACAAAGCUUUAGCAAGACCAAAAGUGCCUGCCUGCCCUACUCCUUGAAAAUUUCCAAUCUUAUCAUGAGAGUAGCAAGGGAAUGGGGAUGCCUUCUGAGCACCCAGUUUCCUAUACAGCAAAUUAAGUACCCCCCCCCUUCUGAUGGCUCUUUUUUUUUUUUUUUCAAGAUGGAGAGAAUGAAAGAUUGCAAACCAGGUCUUUUGGUGGGCUUUGUCUCCACCUUGUAACUGAAUGUCUAGAUUUUUCUUCCCAGAAUUGUGCUUAAAACCCCAGUACCAUGGGCCUCUUUGGGUUUUUCCUCUCUUGGAGCCCCAUGUCUGUGCCACUCUGGCUGGAGGUCUCUCACUUUAACAAAUAUUGCUUUUAAAUAUAUAUAUAUAUAAAAAAACAUGUGAAAGGGUGGUGUUGUGGCACAGCAGGUAAAACUGCCGCCUGGAAGGUUGACAUCCCAUUCGGGCGCCAGUUUGAGCCCCAGCUACUCCACUUCCUAUCCAUCUCCCAACUAAUGGCCUGGGAAAGCAGUACAAGAUGGCCUGAAUGCUUGGGCUCCUGCCACCCAUGUGGGAGACCAGGAUAAAGCUUCUGGCUCCUGGUUCCAGCGUGGCCCAGUCCUGGCCAUUGCAGUCAUGUGGGGAGUGAACAAGAAGAUGGAAGAUCUUUCUGUCUCUCCCACAGUCUCUCUCUAUAUAUAUAGCUCAAAUAACAAACCAAGAGAAACCUUAAUAAAAAAAUCCUUGGUACUCUACCUCUCAAAUCCAGCAGGAUGCUGUCACAAAAUAGUCAAAACAAACGAGAGAGGCCCAAUCACAGAAAGAGGAGGAAGUCAGAGUGAUUCUGCCCCACUGUCAACAGGGAGCCCCUCUACUUGAGUGGUGACACCAGAUGGACCAGGAACAGGAAGGGAGGAGCUGCCAGUGUGUUGGGUUGCAGGGAAAAUGCACUCUGUGCUCUGAGACUGGGAACCUGGCUUGCCUGCCCCACUGCCUUGGCUGUGUCCCCCAAAACCUAUCUGUCACAGGAUGAAUUGUGUCUCCCAAUUCCCUUUGUUGGAGCCCUAACUCCAAUGUGGCCAUAUGCAAAUACAGGGCCUCUGUGGAGGAAUCAGGGUUAAAGGAGGGAAUGAAGGAGGUGGGGGAGGUGUCCGGACCCAGUAGGAUGGCUCUUCUACAAGAAGAGAAGCCAGUGCUCUACCACCCACUCCACACACAGAGGGAAAGGCUGGUGAGGUCAGCAGCAGAUGAUGACACACAGACAAGAGGAUGCUAACAAAGGAACACAGACCCCUCUGCAUCCUGACAUUGAACUCACUAGCCUCCAGAAUUGUGAGAAGUUAACUUCUGUUGCCUAAGCGGCCCUGCCCAGGGUGUGUUGGUACCCAAGGCAGUCCUCACAGAGCCAUACACCUUCCUGACCCUCUCUAAGCAGGAUCAGCCUCAACAGGCACUCGUGCCUUGGGAAACCCAGACUGGCUCCUCAUUUUCAUGCUGCUCUGACCCUGGGGAGGAAGGGAGAGGCAGGUUUCAACCUCAGUGUGUGCUUACAUUAAACACAAAUAUUUCCUGGAAGAUGAGGUUGUUUGGCCUCCCCCACCCCCACCCCAUCAGAGCUGUGUAGAAUGGAAGGCCCUAUUUGCUUGGUAUUAAUGUUUGGGCAUGUAAGAUUGUUAAGGUGCUAGUGGGGACCUCACGUGGUCUCGGUAUCCUGCUCCCCUCCCCAGGACAGAAGGUCAUGGAUUGCUGCAGGGCCUUCCAGAAGAUUGACAGCAUCCCAGCCCUGCACCAGCAGAAACCAGGCCACCUCUCAGUGUCCUGCUGGCUCCCACUGCCCCAUAGACACACGGCCUGCCUGGGUCAGACUCCAGUUCUGGACAGACAUCACUCCAACCAUUACCAGCCAUGCUAACUUCGGGGCACCUUCACCUUUUCUUAUCCCCUGCAGACAUGCCACAGCUGCUGCUCCAGCCCAGGGCUGUUGCCAGGUCUGUGGCCUUCUCAGGGCAACAGGCUGGGGACAGCUCUGAAAUGGCAGCCCCUCUCCUCCUCCCACUACCACACCCCUCUUCUAUGAGCACCCACAGCGCAUCUGGUCUGCAGUGCUGAGUGACGGCAAACUCUAAUUGGACUGAGACAGCCUGUAGAAAGCUGAGAGACAUGUGGGGGCGCCACAUCCCCAGCCUGUGGGCAGGACACUGCCCCAGGAGUCUGUCAAGAAGUCUGGGAGGAUGAGCAGUGUGAGUGCUUCUUCCUUUGGGCGGCGGCAUCUCAUCCAUCACAUUGUUCACAAUCACCAGAGCGUGGCAAUUGAAAAGUUUUAGAGUUAAGUUGAAUUUCUGUGCCAAUUCACCCUGAGUGUCAGCAUUGUGUGGACUUCUCCUCCCCCUCUCGCUCGACAUGCUGCUAGGGGAACCCGGCCCACCAGCAUCUCCAGGACCGAAUGGCAGAGAUGUGGGCGAGAGCAAUGUGGACUCACCCAGCUGCUUCAGAUGCCUUCUCUGCAUGAAAGCCCAGGCAGAACAACAGAGAAGCCGCGCAAGCAACCCACAAGUCAUGGACUUAACGUCAUCCUUUCGAUCCUUUACCUGUUGGGGAGAUCUGUUACACUGUGAUAGAUAGUGGAAACAUCCACAAAUCAAUCCAUGCAACACAUCCUUGGAGAUCAUAACUUGGUUCCAGUCUCCUUCUGCCUUUCUCUGCACAAAGAACUGAGCUAAAGGUGAGCUAUUGAUUUUUCAACCUGGCCCUGCUUCCUAAGGUCAGUAAACCACGGAAUCUGAGGCUGUGGGCCUCUACCACACAGUCCCUUCACAGAUUGGAUGGUGCUCCCAGCGUGGAGCAGCUGUCUUGGUGACAGGGCAGCCAUCCCCAGCCCUCAAAGGCUGUCCUUGUUUGGGGACCUGACAGAGCACUGCAGGCAGUCACACAUCCCAAGUCUUCAGCUUCCACUCCAUUUAUGGCAAAGGGGGAAGACAAUAUCAAAGUCACUUCCCUGGACAUUGGAGGGGGUUUUUCCAAGAGCCUCCACAGUAGCCCUAAGAAUUAGCAGCCUGGGCGCCUCCUUAGGUCCCUAGCUCUCUGCUGCUUCUACAGGUGAUGGUCAUAGUCAUCUAGAGAUGCUGCCAGGAUCGCCAGAGACAGUGGAAGCACAAGCUGCCCCCUGCAGCAUGUGAGGAAACCCAUCCAGGCAAUGCCAUGUGUUGCUCCUCUCAAAGGGUGAGACUACAUUUGUCCUGUUCCUAUUAAGAACAAAGCCAACCUGAAACAUGACAGUAGGAACUCUGGGACUUCCCUGCUUUUCCUUUGUACAAGAAGCCAGAUAGAAAUGGCUGUCAAUGAUAUGCUCGGGCACAAUCUAUUAAAGGGGAGGUAGCGGAGCCCAGCCCCAGCUUGAGGGGCUGGUGGGCAAGUUCAUUCUUCAUAGACUGAACAGGAACCUUGUGAGGCUCUACAGAGGGAGUGGAC
This is a non-coding RNA of Oryctolagus cuniculus (rabbit), 3864 nucleotides long. The record is from RefSeq and is a predicted model, not a curated record. Lineage: Eukaryota; Metazoa; Chordata; Mammalia; Lagomorpha; Leporidae.